AACGAACGCUGGCGGCGCGCCUUACACAUGCAAGUCGAACGGCAGGAGAGGGGCUUGCUUCUCUCCUAGAGUGGGGGACGGGUGAGGAACACGUGGGUAAUCUACCCUUAGGAUGGGGAUGGCUGCUAGAGAGAGCAGAUACUGCCUACUACACUCGGCAUAUCGCGAGGGGUGUUGAGAAAAGGCAGCUAUGGCUUAGCUUGAGUCUGAGCUUGCGUCCGAUUAGCUAGUUGGUGAGGUAAAGGCCCACCAAGGCGACGAUGGGUAUCCGGCCUGAGAGGGUGAACGGACACACUGGAACUGAGACACGGCCCAAACUCCUACGGGAGGCAGCAGCGAAGAAUAUUCCGCAAUGGGCGGAAGUCUGACGGAGCGACGCCGCGUGGAUGAAGAAGGCCGAAGAGUUGUAAAGUCCUUUUGGUGAGGAAGAAUAAGGGUGAGAGGGAACGCUCAUGUGAUGACGGUAAUCGAAGAAUAAGCCCCGGCUAACUACGUG
RNAcentral lists this ribosomal RNA (496 nucleotides) under uncultured bacterium. RNAcentral describes it as "partial 16S ribosomal RNA". It matches the Rfam family "Bacterial small subunit ribosomal RNA", at positions 29 to 507 of the family's 1533-position model. The record is from RNAcentral.